Molecule: non-coding RNA, 156 nt
Organism: Populus trichocarpa (black cottonwood)
Lineage: Eukaryota; Viridiplantae; Streptophyta; Magnoliopsida; Malpighiales; Salicaceae
Source: Rfam
UCUGGAACUCGAGAUAUAGGCUGAACACUGAACAAUGUCUGGGCUGCAGGACAAAUUACAACUUCUCUUUUGUUGCUACAAUUUGAACUUGAAAACGAUCAUUUUGAAUCUUAGACUCUUCAUGAAAGUUGUAGGCCUAUGUCUUAGCUUUCCAUC